UUGAUAAAAGAACGAAAAAAACUGUCACAUGACAACCAUCAUGAAUUAAACAUUAGAUCGUAAAUUAUAUACAAGAGAUAGAGCACCACGUGGCUAAAUGUUGUUUGUUUACGAUUGGUGAAUGAGGUUCAUUUAUAUUUUUAAACCUGAUUUAAUGUUGUAGUCUGAACGAUACAAAGCCGCAUGCAAAGCUUAAAAUAUAUUGGAUAAUUUUAUAAAAUGUAUCCACUCACCUAUUUUAUUUCAACAAAUUAAAAUAUAAAACAUUUAAAACAUCAACAUUAUUGAAUACACAUAAGGU
This is a non-coding RNA of Biomphalaria pfeifferi, 301 nucleotides long. Lineage: Eukaryota; Metazoa; Mollusca; Gastropoda; Planorbidae. The record is from the annotation of a GenBank genome assembly.